GGAAGUAAAAGUCGUAACAAGGUUUCCGUAGGUGAACCUGCGGAAGGAUCAUUACAGAGAAUAUCGCCCUCAAGGGGUGACUCUCCAACCCUGUGUUAUUGUACCUUUGUUGCUUUGGCGAGCCGCUUCGGCCACCGGCUUACGCUGGUGAGUGCUCGCCAGAGGACCCCAAACCCUGAAUUAUUAGUGUCGUCUGAGUACUAUAUAAUAGUUAAAACUUUCAACAACGGAUCUCUUGGUUCUGGCAUCGAUGAAGAACGCAGCGAAAUGCGAUAAGUAAUGUGAAUUGCAGAAUUCAGUGAAUCAUCGAAUCUUUGAACGCACAUUGCGCCCUGUGGUAUUCCGCAGGGCAUGCCUGUUCGAGCGUCAGUACAACACUCAAGCGUAGCUUGGUAUUGAGCCACGUCCGCAAGGGCCGGCUUUAAAAUCAGUGGCGGCGCCAUUUGGCUCUCAGCGUAGUAAUACUCGUCGCUGUUGGGUCCUGGUGGAUGCUAGCCAGCAACCUCCAACUUUCUAAGUUUGACCUCGGAUCAGGUAGGGAUACCCGCUGAACUUAAGCAUAUCAAUAAGCGGAGGA
Molecule: ribosomal RNA, 577 nt
Filed under: Chaetothyriales sp. AR-2010
Lineage: Eukaryota; Fungi; Ascomycota; Eurotiomycetes; Chaetothyriales
Description: eukaryotic LSU rRNA
Rfam family: 5.8S ribosomal RNA (bases 216-369)
Source: RNAcentral